AGUGAGUUGGCAGAGUAGUGCCACCGACUUAGGAUCGGUUCAUGGGUGUCACCCACUCACUA
RNAcentral lists this transfer RNA (62 nucleotides) under Aporrectodea trapezoides. RNAcentral describes it as "tRNA-Leu". The record is from RNAcentral. Lineage: Eukaryota; Metazoa; Annelida; Clitellata; Crassiclitellata; Lumbricidae.